GUGGGGAAUAUUGGACAAUGGGCGCAAGCCUGAUCCAGCCAUGCCGCGUGAGUGAUGAAGGCCCUAGGGUUGUAAAGCUCUUUCAGUGGGGACGAUAAUGACGGUACCCACAGAAGAAGCCCCGGCUAACUUCGUGCCAGCAGCCGCGGUAAUACGAAGGGGGCUAGCGUUGUUCGGAUUUACUGGGCGUAAAGCGCACGUAGGCGGAUCGUUAAGUCGAGGGUGAAAUCCUGGAGCUCAACUCCAGAACUGCCUUCGAUACUGGCGAUCUUGAGUCCGGAAGAGGUGAGUGGAACUCCUAGUGUAGAGGUGGAAUUCGUAGAUAUUAGGAAGAACACCAGUGGCGAAGGCGGCUCACUGGUCCGGUACUGACGCUGAGGUGCGAAAGCGUGGGGAGCAAACAGGAUUAGAAACCCUAGUAGUCC
Molecule: ribosomal RNA, 425 nt
Filed under: uncultured bacterium
Lineage: Bacteria
Description: bacterial SSU rRNA
Rfam family: Bacterial small subunit ribosomal RNA
Source: RNAcentral